RNAcentral lists this ribosomal RNA (496 nucleotides) under uncultured bacterium. Its description in RNAcentral is "partial 16S ribosomal RNA". It matches the Rfam family "Bacterial small subunit ribosomal RNA", at positions 29 to 507 of the family's 1533-position model. The record is from RNAcentral.
ACGAACGCUGGCGGCGUGCCUAAUACAUGCAAGUAGAACGCUGAAGAGAGGAGCUUGCUCUUCUUGGAUGAGUUGCGAACGGGUGAGUAACGCGUAGGUAACCUGCCUUGUAGCGGGGGAUAACUAUUGGAAACGAUAGCUAAUACCGCAUAACAAUGGAUGACACAUGUCAUUUAUUUUGAAGGGGCAAUUGCUCCACUACAAGAUGGACCUGCGUUGUAUUAGCUAGUAGGUGAGGUAAUGGCUCACCUAGGCGACGAUACAUAGCCGACCUGAGAGGGUGAUCGGCCACACUGGGACUGAGACACGGCCCAGACUCCUACGGGAGGCAGCAGUAGGGAAUCUUCGGCAAUGGGGGCAACCCUGACCGAGCAACGCCGCGUGAGUGAAGAAGGUUUUCGGAUCGUAAAGCUCUGUUGUAAGUCAAGAACGGGUGUGAGAGUGGAAAGUUCACACUGUGACGGUAGCUUACCAGAAAGGGACGGCUAACUACGUG